RNAcentral lists this ribosomal RNA (531 nucleotides) under uncultured bacterium. RNAcentral's name for it is "bacterial SSU rRNA". It matches the Rfam family "Bacterial small subunit ribosomal RNA", at positions 777 to 1307 of the family's 1533-position model. The record is from RNAcentral.
AAUAGAUACCCAGGUAGUCCACGCCGUAAACGGUGGGCGCUAGGUGUGGGGACUUUCCACGUCCUCUGUGCCGCAGCUAACGCAUUAAGCGCCCCGCCUGGGGAGUACGGCCGCAAGGCUAAAACUCAAAGGAAUUGACGGGGGACCCGCACAAGCGGCGGAGCAUGUGGCUUAAUUCGACGCAACGCGAAGAACCUUACCAAGGCUUGACAUGCAGGGAAAUCUCGUAGAGAUACGGGGUCCGCAAGGGCUCUGCACAGGUGGUGCAUGGUUGUCGUCAGCUCGUGUCGUGAGAUGUUGGGUUAAGUCCCGCAACGAGCGCAACCCUUGUCCUAUGUUGCCAGCGAGUAAUGUCGGGGACUCAUAGGAGACUGCCGGGGGUCAACUCGGAGGAAGGUGGGGAUGACGUCAAAUCAUCAUGCCCCUUAUGUCUUGGGCUGCACACAUGCUACAAUGGUCGGUACAAAGGGCUGCGAGACCGCAAGGUGGAGCGAAUCCCAAAAAGCCGGCCUCAGUUCGGAUUGGGGUCUG